AUUGAACGCUGGCGGCAGGCCUAACACAUGCAAGUCGAACGGUAACAGGAAGAAGCUUGCUUCUUUGCUGACGAGUGGCGGACGGGUGAGUAAUGUCUGGGAAACUGCCUGAUGGAGGGGGAUAACUACUGGAAACGGUAGUUAAUACCGCAUAACGUCGCAAGACCAAAGAGGGGGACCUUCGGGCCUCUUGCCAUCGGAUGUGCCCAGAUGGGAUUAGCUAGUAGGUGGGGUAACGGCUCACCUAGGCGACGAUCCCUAGCUGGUCUGAGAGGAUGACCAGCCACACUGGAACUGAGACACGGUCCAGACUCCUACGGGAGGCAGCAGUGGGGAAUAUUGCACAAUGGGCGCAAGCCUGAUGCAGCCAUGCCGCGUGUAUGAAGAAGGCCUUCGGGUUGUAAAGUACUUUCAGCGGGGAGGAAGGGAGUAAAGUUAAUACCUUUGCUCAUUGACGUUACCCGCAGAAGAAGCACCGGCUAACUCCGU
Molecule: ribosomal RNA, 489 nt
Filed under: uncultured bacterium
Lineage: Bacteria
Description: partial 16S ribosomal RNA
Rfam family: Bacterial small subunit ribosomal RNA
Source: RNAcentral